GAGAGCAUAGAGAAGAAACUGCUCACUCUCUUUUCCUAGUUAGUAUUCAGGGAAUGAUUGGAGCAGAAUAGAGAGAGAUGUCCAGGCUUAGAAGGAUUAUAAUUAAAGAGAACAAAGAAACUGAGAACAAAGGUGAAAAGUAAGAGGGAGGAGUGAGAAGGAAAGAAAAAAAAAGACCUAAAGUGUCAAAGAAUAACAAGAAGUGGAUCUCUCGAUUUAAAUCACUGAUAUGUUUUUAGGUCAUUUUUAGCUUAAGGUCUUGAUAUUUCUCCCUCCUUUUUUUGGUCUUAAACAGAAAAAGGAUGUUUUACUGCACCAAGUCACUAAAAAAUACUGCUAUUGGGAUUUCCUUCUGCCAACCCAUCAAGAUGCUGCCUAUAGACUGGGGAAUUUAUGAAAAAGCUGCUCUGUUAUCAACAUAAAGGAAGCUACGACAAAAAAAGUCAGAAAAGUGAGUGGGUAAGCUUUUAAGGAAAUCAGGUGCAAAUUUAUUGGCAUGUCUGUGUAAUGAGGUUGAAAUGAGGGGAGAAAAAAAAUGACCAAAAUCUGGAGCAGGGGGAGGAUUUGUCAGUAACAAGAGAUGGUCUGUCCUUUUACACUGUGCAGUACCUGUGUCACCAGGCAACAGUUAUCCUGGGGCUUUGGGCAAGUAAUUCUCAUCACCCUCUUAAUUCCCAUCUCAAAGACAUUGCAAAAAGCCUUCAGGCUGUUCGUGAGAACGUUUUUACUUUGUUAGGGCUUGAACUGGGGGCGGCAGGAUCCUCUGAAGUGGUGAAUCUUGAUAUGAGGAAUGAGGAUGCUCCGCCGGGAUUGCCACAAGGCAGCUCUGAAGUGGAAUCAACAGUUUAAAAACAGCACACUCCUGUCUAACUACACCAAACUGAAGGCUGCUGGACAAAUGAAAAGCCAACAGCCACUGAAAAAAAAAAAAUCAGAGUUCUGAAAGCAGAGGAGAAUGAAAUGAGCAAAAUAAUUUUGCAGGUUAUGGAGCGUUCAUGUGUUGUCUUUGAAGGAUAUUUUUUAACUCUGAGUAAUGUGAGCACAGUGCUGUGGUUUUUCUUUGCUGCAUCUGGAAAGUGUACCCAAGGAACUCAGCAAUUUGUCACAUGUAUAUUUAUAUUGAAGUGAACCACAGAUUUGUAGGUUACUUAAUGUAAUAGAGGAGAGUGAAAAUGGAGCAAGUGCAAAAUUCUAUAAUACAGGAUUGCAUCAACAGAGAACACUUACCAAUAGGAAAGAGGGACUGUGCAACAUUUAUAGGUGAAGGCAGGUAAGUAUCCAAAGUAAUUUGAAAAAAUACCAGUGUGGGGAUUGUAGUAUCUAAUCUAUUUUUCUUAGAGGAUGCUCUUAAAUGUGAAAAAAACUGAUGUCUUUAGGGCAAGUUCAUAUCUAACACAAAUUGCUGUAUCUUCAGUGUUUCAGAAGAACGAUGACAUCCUAUAUCAGCCAAAGAAUCUGUCUGAAAUUGUACAGAAAGUAGAGUCUGAAAAGAAAAACAAGACAUCCUGGUAUUCAGAUGCACCCAAAUCAAAGAGCUGUCAUGAUCAAAUAUUUAGAAAUUUAAGCUUGCUGCCAAAGUGUAGCUCAUUAAAACAGUGAUUAAAAGCCUAACUCAUAGAUGCUUUGGUAGGACCUCAAAUUGAUCUGAUUUCCUGAUUUUGUACAAAUUUUUGUAAUGAUUUAUCACUUUAGGGAAACACUUAUAUUAAAUUGCAUUAAAAAUUAAAAAACCCACAGUAAUUAUCCUUUUUUUUCCCCCUCAGAACAAUGCAAUUAUAUUCAAUGCUAUGAGUGACUGAAAAAAAUUAUGUACACUCAUGCAUAAGCCCUAGUGCUAUAUUUUGUAAUGUUAAAAAUCUGGGGAAAGUUUUUGGCAGCAUUGCAAAACUUUUAAAGACUUUGCCAUUUCCACAAAAAUAUUCAGUAUUCGAGGAAAAGCCGUUUAUCAUAGAAAACACAUUGUAUAACAAAGUUACAAUCUCUAAUUAAUACUGGAGAUUUUCGCUGUGCAUUGAAUCCCAAAUUUGGAAUUAUCAGCGAGAAAGGUAAUUAAGGAUAAAGCUGCUGGAGAUAAGUAACUCUUCAGCCAUCUUCUGGGUGACAUAUGAAAGCGUCCAAACACUACUGUGAGCAAUUAAUCUUCUAUAACUCACACAAUAUGCAGAUUAAGAGCAGGUCUAGGCCUGAGCUGCACCACACAUGCUGAAGUUUUGAAUCUGUACGUGUAGUUGGCAUCAUAUUUUGGGUUUUGCCCCAGUGGGUCUUCCAUAAAAGGUUGGUUGUGGAGACAGGAAAAAUAAUAUAUGCCGUUAAAUUGUUUAUUAGCACAGGAACUUCACACAGGGGAAGGAAUGAUUGUUUAUUGAAACAAGACCUUCAAGGGACUCUUUAAUUAUAAAACAGCUUGAUAUUUUAAAGAAAAUGACAGAGACAACGGAAAGAACAAUUUACUGUGGGUAACAGGUUGAGUAUAGCUUGGGGCCUAUUAAUCAGUCAUGCAUAACCACUAUCCCAUAAAGAAAUUGGAAUAAACAUACAGAAAAUACUGCCUCUGCAAGAGGAUUCAAAGAAACAUGGCUGGGUUUUAAAAUGUAAUUAACAGUUGCAUCAUAACACAUUAAGAGGAGCAAAAGCAGUAUCUGUCUCGCAACAGUAGAUGAAUAAAAUGAAGACAUCAGUUCUCCAGCUUUGGAACCCACUGACAGCAAGUUCUGCAGAAAUGGGAGCACGGGUCUGCUGCCAUUGGUACUGAGGCACCAAGCAAGGCUUUGAAGCAGGAAACACCUCGUUUUAUUCACCCUGAACCUGUAGCCUGAUGCCCACCAUUAACUCCAUCUGCUUCCCCUGUCUCAGGAAUGGGAUAGAGCUUUUCCCUGAAAGGCCUGAGAAUGUCCACUGAGCAUCUGAGGUCUCUCCUCAGUUGUCUGGUCCCACACCAACCCCCGUGGCAGGAUCAGGGCCCCAGCCAAGGUAAGUGUUCAGUGGGGUGGGUUCUCAGUGCUCCCAGAGCUGGGCACAAAUGGUCUCCUGCAGCUCUACCUCCUGAGAGUUAAUGAAGAUUAGAUCCCAUCUAGAAAUAUAGCCCCAACACACUGAAACUUCCUCAAUAAAUUUUAGGAUAGACUUUAGUGCGGAAUUACAGCUGCAGGUCUCCAGCCAUUAAAAAAUGAAUUAUUGUUACGGAUGUAACUCGGCAGCAGAGCAGCCUGACAGCAACGGCCUGAGCUAAUUCCCCCAAAGAUUCGUCUCUGUUCCUGCAAGAUAAGUGCUCCAGCCUUGUUUCCUUCUGUUGGAUUUUUACACAGUGCCUCGUGGAGCACGGCACCGUCCCCAUUUGCAUGUGCUGUACAGGGCUGGAUUGACAAUAUCAGCCAGGGUAUUAUGUGACACCUAAUUUGGAAACACUUGGUGAAGGUUAUCUCUGCCUCAAGCAAUGAUACCACGAGGCUGAAUAUAAAGCUGUUAGAGUAAUUUCUAGUGAAUAAUGUAUUAAAUAACUUUACUUCUCCUCUCCCUCCCUCUGCACGUGACUUGUUUGAGGCUUUUUUUUUUUUUUAAAGAAAGAAGGAACUAUUUAAUAAUGAAACUAGAAUGAUGUUGAAUACACAAGUUACAGGUGGCAGAUCUGGAGACAGAUUUUAGCCUGGUUAUAUACUUUAAAUACUCAAAAUAUUAGUUGUAAUUCUUUACUGGUAAGUUUUGAUUUGCAGGUCAUUUGUGAGUGAGCUGUUACAGUUCCAGGCUAUUUUGAGUGGCUGCUCAAUCACCUGUUGUUACUUUUUCACUCCAAAUGGCUAAAGGUGAUUCAUAGCUUUUCAUAUUUUAUACCCUUUACUUUUCUGCUUCAAGAUGAAAUUUAAUUUACACCAACAAUCCGAAGUGCCUAUUGCUCUGAGAGCCAUUCCCUGUUUAUUAUUUGUUCUUUUUAGAGAUGACAGAAACAAAACACAAAUGGGCAAGAGGUGACUUUUUUUUCAAAAUAUGACCCUUUGUUUAUGGUGAACUUUGUAACCCUCAGCUACCUGUUUACAGGAAGUAUAAGAGGCUCAAAGAGAGAAAAUGCCUGGAGAAUAUUUGUUCGAGUCCUCAGAAGUGUUUUGUGCUCCCAGAAAUUCGAUUACACGUAGGAGCAGUUUGCAACAUUCAUUUUGUUAUGGCAAGUGCUUUAUUUAUCUUUUCAUGAUGCCAUUUUACCACCAGUGAUGGUGUGGUCACCUGAAGCUGUGGUGUCCUGGCAAGUGACAGCUGAGACUGGACAUUAAUGCUCAGGUACAGGCUGAUCUGGCUGCCACUGGACCAGGUAGCACAUUCCCAUUCCAGAAUUCCAUUUUCUGGAAGUCUUUUAGAUUCUCUGAAUUUCUUUAGGAGUAAAAAAAAAAAAAUAAUAAGAAAAUAAAAGAGAACAAGAGAAAGAGAGAGGGGAAAAAAUUUUAUCUGUGAAAAGGGAGAAGUUUCUCUCUGCUCACGAUUUUUCAAGCUUGUUCAAUUGUAACAACCUCAUGGAUAGCAAAUUGGUGUCAUUUUUAUCUGAGGAAAAACAGGAAGGUAACUGCCCUCAAAGGAGUAGGUAAAUAUAUUUUUCAUGAUUUUGUAGUCUCGCUUGUGUUUCACUCGUGGCAGUUUCACAGAUGUCUUUCCUCUUUUAUGUUGCUCUCUUCUUUUUUAAGAAAGCCAAUUUAAAAUGGCUAAUUGCACCUACCCUUAGAUGUUUGUGCUGCAUUUCAUGGAGGUGGGAUAGAGUCAGUUCCAUAAUGUGCAGGCAAAGCUUGAGCCCCACACAUGCAGGGGAUUCAUAUUAUAACUUCUGGCAUUUUUCCAAUAAACAGAAGGGCAAAUCAUUUGUGCAGGGCUGGUAUCAAAAGAGAAGGACUAAACACGCAGUUUAAUUGAACAUUUGUUCUUAACUUUACUCAGGGACAUUUGACAUGAAAAUUCUUGCCAUACUUGAUUGAAACCAGCUAUGUGUGUCCAGAACUACAUGGUUUAGGGAGGUAGUGGAAGAUGAUUGUGUAUUGUACAACCUCCCAGGCUCUCAGGGACCAUUAGAAUUGCAAACCUGUUACCCUGGCAACCACAAAAUUUGACAGGACUUGAAACCUCUGAUCUCCCUGGAUAAGGCAGCAGCAUUUAUAAAAUUUGCUCAUUCACCUUACCAUAGUUGCUACAGUUAAUGUUGAAUUGCAUCAGUAGCUUCUUCUCUGCUGAAAAGCCCUCAGAUGGCUGUGGAGUUAAUAGAUAACAGCAAUAGAGAGUUAUAGAACAGAGCUUCCAAAAUUUCCCUCCAUGGACCACUGGAACUGCCAAGUGCCAACUGGUUGGAGAUGGUUUUUCACUCCCUGUGUUUCCAGCUGUUGAUAUCUCACCAAAAGGCAACUAAACACAUUAUAUGUUCCCCUAAUAUCUCCAGAGGCAAAUAAAAUCAAUGGCAAACAUGUAAAGUGCCCAUCCCGAGCUUGUCCUCUCACACAUUCUCUCUUCUCCAUUCUCUCUUUUGCUCUGGUCACACACUCUCAAUUUGGUUGAAUUUGGAGGCUUGGCUGCACUCAACCAAAAUAAAGUCAUCUUUCCAGAGCUGUAUAUUUUAGCUGUAAAAUUAAAAGUGGGGAAUUCUGCCUUGGAUGGAACUGGAUUCUCUCUGGAAUUCGGCACUGCUGAGAUUAUUAUCAAAAACCAUGUUUUAGUUCCUGUGUCUUUAUUGUUUCUUUAGAUUUAUGGUAAGUUUAGAGAUGACAAAAAAAAAAGAGGCCUUAAAUUGAUUUUUAAGAACUGGAGAGAAAUAAAGGUGGUAAAUAGCAUGUAAAGAUGACACUCAACAAAUUCAGUUACCAUGUAGAAAUAAUUAAGUGGGGGGAAAGGACAGCAGGUAAAAAAAUGUACUUUUGCUGGGGAAAGAGAGAACAGGAACUGACUGCUCUUUAAACACAGAGAAAUUAGGAGAAAAAAAUUUUAAACCAUAAGAGAAACACUGUGCAUAGGGAAUCUCUAGAUUCCCUGUCUUCUUUGACUUCUCAAGGAAAGACUGUAUUUCUCUUUUUGUGAUAGUUGAAAUUCAUUAUUUGUCUCCAUACUGGAGUGAUAUUACAGGGGUUUUCUUAUACAAAAAACUGACAAGAUGAACUUAUAUUCAAAAACUUUAGUAGGAAAAUUUACCUUACUUUUCUUCUGUCUAAAAAAAAAAUAUUUAAAAAUUCCCAAUUAAUACUCAACAUCAUAAUAUUUUUACACAGUUUAUUGGCCUGCUUUACAAUGUUUGGUAUAACUUUAUUUCGCUGAUUCGGAAGAGUUCACUGAAAUGUUGAAUUUUUGCAUAUCCCUGUGUUUUUGCUUCUUUCUAGAAGUGGCUCCUGCAGUAGAAAUCAGUUCCUUAAUCUUCUGCUCCCCACUGAGCAUCCUGGGUGAGGUCUGAGAAACGUCACAAUUUUUCACCUUCACUUAGCUAGAGUCUAUCUCAGAUUGUUAGUCUUGGCUUACCCUCCAAUAUCCAUUAAAAACUCAGCCAACCAUAAAACUCUUACUGCCCUAAUUAGUAUUUUGAAUUCUACUCAUCCUCUUUUCUUUUCAGCUUUCAGCAAAUCUGGCCUUUGUGCCCAGCACAGGUUCACAGCCGUAGGAAUAAAUCCUUC
This is a long non-coding RNA of Pseudopipra pipra, 6623 nucleotides long. RefSeq lists it as uncharacterized. The transcript has 4 exons. The record is from RefSeq and is a predicted model, not a curated record. NCBI's taxonomy places the organism in Eukaryota, Metazoa, Chordata, Aves, Passeriformes, Pipridae.